This 433-nucleotide ribosomal RNA is filed under the name uncultured Coprococcus sp. RNAcentral describes it as "partial 16S ribosomal RNA". It matches the Rfam family "Bacterial small subunit ribosomal RNA", at positions 341 to 792 of the family's 1533-position model. The record is from RNAcentral. Lineage: Bacteria; Bacillati; Bacillota; Clostridia; Lachnospirales; Lachnospiraceae.
ACGGAAGGCAGCAGUGGGGAAUAUUGCUCAAUGGGGGAAACCCUGAUGCAGCGACGCCGCGUGAGUGAAGAAGUUAUUCGUAAUGUAAAGCUCUAUCAGCAGGGAAGAAAAUGACGGUACCUGACUAAGAAGCCCCGGCUAACUACGUGCCAGCAGCCGCGGUAAUACGUAGGGGGCAAGCGUUAUCCGGAUUUACUGGGUGUAAGGGAGCGUAGGCGGCACGGCAAGCCAGAAGUGAAAACCCAGGGCUUAACUCUGGGAUUGCUUUUGGAACUGUCGAGCUAGAUUGCAGGAGAGGUAAGUGGAAUUCCUAGUGUAGCGGUGAAAUGCGUAGAUAUUAGGAGGAACACCAGUGGCGAAGGCGGCUUACUGGACUGUAAAUGACGCUGAGGCUCGAAAGCGUGGGGAGCAAACAGGAUUAGAUACCCUGGUA